UUUUUUUUUUAAUGAUACGGCGACCACCGAGAUCUACACUCUUUCCCUACACGACGCUCUUCCGAUCUGUGAAAGCCCAGUAUACGACUCUUUAACGAAGCCUAGUGGAAUCCUGAGUAGCGCGGAGCACGAGAAAUUCUGUGUGAAUCAGCGGGGCCCAUCCCGUAAGGCUAAAUACUCCCGAGAGACCGAUAGCGAACCAGUACUGUGAAGGAAAGGUGAAAAGCACCUCGAACAGAGGAGUGAAAUAGUCCCUGAAACCGUCUGCCUACAAGCGGUCGGAGCAACGUAAGUUGUGACGGCGUGCCUUUUGCAUAAUGAACCUACGAGUUACUUUCUCCGGCAAGGUUAAGGGCUUCAGGCCCGGAGCCGAAGCGAAAGCGAGUCUUAAUAGGGCGUGAUAGUCGGAGUGAGUAGACGCGAAACCAAGUGAUCUACCCUUGGUCAGGAUGAAGGUUGGGUAACACCAACUGGAGGUCCGAAUGGGUAUACGUUGAAAAGUGUUCCAAUGAACUGAGGGUAGGGGUGAAAGGCUAAUCAAACUUGGAGAUAGCUCGUACUCCCCGAAAUGCAUUUAGGUGCAGCCUUUAUUUAGUAUAGCAUGAGGUAGAGCGACUGAUUGGAUGCGAGGGCUUCACCGCCUAUCAAGUCCAGAUAAACUCCGAAUGCGUGCUAUAUAUUGAUAAGGAGUGAGGGCGCGGGUGCUAAGGUCCGCGUCCGAGAGGAGAAGAAUCCAGACCAUCAGCUAAGGUCCCCAAAUAACAGUUAAGUUGAACUAACGAAGUCGGACUGCAGAGACAGCUAGGAUGUUGGCUUGGAAGCAGCCAUUCAUUUAAAGAGUGCGUAACAGCUCACUAGUCGAGGAGUCCGGCGUGGAUAAUACUCGGGCAUAAACUGUUUACCGAAGCUAUGGAUGUAGAAAUACAUGGUAGGGGAGCAUUCCAACGGCGUCGAAGGUGAAGGAUGACCUUUGCUGGAGCUUUUGGAAACGCAAAUGUAGGUAUAAGUAACGAUAAAGGAGGUGAGAAACCUCCUCGCCGAAAGACUAAGGUUUCCUGAUCAACGUUAAUCGGAUCAGGGUAAGUCGGGACCUAAGGUUAAGCCGAACGGCGAUACCGAUGGAAGAAUGGUUUAAUAUUCCCAUACUACUUUAUGGAGCGAUGUGGAGACGGAGAAGUGAAAGUCCUGCCAUCUGACGGAAUAGGUGGUUGAAGAGUGUAGAUGUAGAUUCCUGUAGGCAAAUCCGCAGGGAGAGUCGACCUUGAUAGUAUGCCGCGUGCUUGCACAAGGCAAAAUGGACGUAAUCAGGCUCCCAAGAAAAUCCGCUAAGCAUAUUCAUAAAGUACCCGUACCGUAAACGGACACACGUAGUUGGGUUGAAAAUACUGAGGCGCUCGAGUGAUUCACGGUUAAGGAACUAGGCAAAUUGACCCUGUAACUUCGGGAUAAAGGGUCCCUACUGAGAGGUAGGGCGCAGAGAAUAGGUCCAGGCAACUGUUUAACAAAAACACAUGGCUGUGCGAAAUAGAAAUAUGAAGUAUACAGCCUGACACCUGCCCGGUGCUGGAAGGUUAAGAGGAGAGCUCAUCGCAAGAGAAGGCUUGAAUUGAAGCCCCAGUAAACGGCGGCCGUAACUAUAACGGUCCUAAGGUAGCGAAAUUCCUUGUCGGGUAAGUUC
This 1678-nucleotide ribosomal RNA is filed under the name human gut metagenome. RNAcentral describes it as "bacterial LSU rRNA". It matches the Rfam family "Bacterial large subunit ribosomal RNA", at positions 350 to 1983 of the family's 2925-position model. The record is from RNAcentral.